CAGUAGCCGCGGUAAUGCGUAGGGUGCAAGCGUUAAUCGGAAUUACUGGGCGUAAAGCGUGCGCAGGCGGUUUGUUAAGACAGAUGUGAAAUCCCCGGGCUCAACCUGGGAACUGCAUUUGUGACUGGCAAGCUAGAGUGUGGCAGAGGGGGGUGGAAUUCCGCGUGUAGCAGUGAAAUGCGUAGAUAUGCGGAGGAACACCGAUGGCGAAGGCAGCCCCCUGGGCCAACACUGACGCUCAUGCACGAAAGCGUGGGGAGCAAACAGGAUUAGAUACCCCAGUAGUCCCUGUCUCUUAUAC
This 301-nucleotide ribosomal RNA is filed under the name uncultured bacterium. Its description in RNAcentral is "partial 16S ribosomal RNA". It matches the Rfam family "Bacterial small subunit ribosomal RNA", at positions 509 to 807 of the family's 1533-position model. The record is from RNAcentral.